AUCUUCCACAAUGGACGAAAGUCUGAUGGAGCAACGCCGCGUGAGUGAAGAAGGUUUUCGGAUCGUAAAGCUCUGUUGUUGGUGAAGAAGGAUAGAGGUAGUAACUGGCCUUUAUUUGACGGUAAUCAACCAGAAAGUCACGGCUAACUACGUGCCAGCAGCCGCGGUAAUACGUAGGUGGCAAGCGUUGUCCGGAUUUAUUGGGCGUAAAGCGAGCGCAGGCGGAAGAAUAAGUCUGAUGUGAAAGCCCUCGGCUUAACCGAGGAACUGCAUCGGAAACUGUUUUUCUUGAGUGCAGAAGAGGAGAGUGGAACUCCAUGUGUAGCGGUGGAAUGCGUAGAUAUAUGGAAGAACACCAGUGGCGAAGGCGGCUCUCUGGUCUGCAACUGACGCUGAGGCUCGAAAGCAUGGGUAGCGAA
This 419-nucleotide ribosomal RNA is filed under the name uncultured bacterium. RNAcentral describes it as "bacterial SSU rRNA". It matches the Rfam family "Bacterial small subunit ribosomal RNA", at positions 361 to 772 of the family's 1533-position model. The record is from RNAcentral.